GAUGAAGAACGUAGUGAAAUGCGAUAAGUAAUGUGAAUUGCAGAAUUCAGUGAAUCAUCGAAUCUUUGAACGCAUCUUGCGCUCCUUGGUAUUCCUUGGAGCAUGCCUGUUUGAGUAUCAUGAGCAAAUCUCAAAGUCAAUUCCUUUUGUUGAUUCAAUUGGUUUUGCUUUGGACCUGGAGGCCUUGCAGAUUUCACAGUCUGCUCCUCUUAAAUGCAUUAGCUGGAUCUCAGUAAUUAUGCUUGGUUCCACUCGGCGUGAUAAGUAUCACUCGCUGAGGACACUGUUAAAAAGGUGGCCAGGAAAAUACUGAUUGAACCGCUUCUAACGGUCUAUUAAGUUAGACAAUUACCCUUAAGUUUGAUCUCAAAUCAGGUAGGACUACCCGCUGAACUUAAGCAUAUCAAUAAGCGGAGGA
RNAcentral lists this unclassified non-coding RNA (418 nucleotides) under soil metagenome. RNAcentral's name for it is "partial contains 5.8S ribosomal RNA, internal transcribed spacer 2, and large subunit ribosomal RNA". The stretch from base 1 to 120 matches the Rfam family "5.8S ribosomal RNA", at positions 35 to 154 of the family's 154-position model. The record is from RNAcentral.